UGAUGCUGGCCAUCCACAAAAAGAUCCUGCAGUCAGGCGGGCAGCCUUUCGACUAUUCUCCCAUUCGGUUUCGCGCCCGGAACGGGGAGUACAUCACGCUGGACACCAGCUGGUCCAGCUUCAUCAACCCAUGGAGCAGGAAAAUCUCCUUCAUCAUUGGGAGGCACAAAGUCAGGGUGGGCCCUUUGAAUGAGGACGUGUUUGCAGCCCACCCCUGCAUAGAGAAGGCCCUGCACCCCAGCAUUCAGGAGCUCACGGAGCAGAUCCACCGGCUCUUGCUGCAGGUGGGUGUGGUGCCUGCAUGCCCUCUUCCCAGGUAGCAGCCUGAGAGCCCCCUGCAGAGGACAUAGGCUCUGAACCCUGGUCCUGGCACACCCACUCAGACAGCUUCAUCUGUCAUUCUCUGAACAUCCCCCAGGGGACAGUUUGGGCAUAGAUCCUGCUAGUCCGAGACAGUCCAUAAUACCCUUGGCUCUCUCCAGCCUUGCAUUCGACCUUGUCUGAACUGCAGCCCUGAGUGAGUAGCUGAAGGACGUGUGCAGACCCCGUGCUCUGACACAGGCUGCAUAGUC
This 572-nucleotide small RNA is filed under the name Pongo abelii (Sumatran orangutan). RNAcentral's name for it is "retained intron". The record is from RNAcentral. Lineage: Eukaryota; Metazoa; Chordata; Mammalia; Primates; Hominidae.